RNAcentral lists this ribosomal RNA (356 nucleotides) under Clostridioides difficile. RNAcentral's name for it is "partial 23S ribosomal RNA". It matches the Rfam family "Bacterial large subunit ribosomal RNA", at positions 1 to 357 of the family's 2925-position model. The record is from RNAcentral. Lineage: Bacteria; Bacillati; Bacillota; Clostridia; Peptostreptococcales; Peptostreptococcaceae.
UGGUCAAGUUAUUAAGGGUGCAGGGCGGAUGCCUUGGCACUAGGAGCCGAUGAAGGACGUGAUAAGCUGCGAUAAGCUUCGGGGAGUUGCACGUAAACUUUGAUCCGAAGAUUUCCGAAUGAGGAAACUCACUUAGAGUAAUGUCUAAGUAUCAUUAAGUGAAUACAUAGCUUAAUGAGGGGAACUCAGGGAACUGAAACAUCUAAGUACCUGAAGGAAGAGAAAGAAAUUCGAUUCCGUAAGUAGCGGCGAGCGAACGCGGAAGAGCCCAAACCAAUAAAGUUUUCUUUAUUGGGGUUGCGGACAUAUCAUAACGAAGAGGUAUCGUAAUUGAAGAGGUUUGGAAAGACCCACCA